Molecule: non-coding RNA, 45 nt
Organism: Homo sapiens (human)
Lineage: Eukaryota; Metazoa; Chordata; Mammalia; Primates; Hominidae
Source: Rfam
UAACAGGAUUUUCUAAAAACCACCCUUAAAAUAUAAAGAGAUAUA